Molecule: unclassified non-coding RNA, 651 nt
Filed under: Hevea brasiliensis (rubber tree)
Lineage: Eukaryota; Viridiplantae; Streptophyta; Magnoliopsida; Malpighiales; Euphorbiaceae
Source: RNAcentral
GCAUGUUACAAACUAACAAGCGAAAUGCAGCAAACGUGGACACCUUUCCAGUAUUAAUGGAUCAUUCCUCACUUCUUCUCCUUUUUAUCUCUAAUUGAAACUAUGAAACAAAACCUUGUUAUUUUGCCUUUGCAAUGAAGGUGGUGGUGGAGAUUUUGACAGGAGGUCUCUUCUACAUUCAAGUGGGUAAUGAUGCUACAGUUGCCGAUCUCAAGCGAGAGAUCGGUGACCAACAAAAGCUACCUCAGGAUCGUCUCAUCCUCUUCCUCGACAACCAUCAAAAUCGCCUGAUAAAUGAAGAUGGAGAUGGAGCAUCUCUAGUUGAUUGUGGAGUUCAUGAAGGAUCUCAUAUCUACCUCUUCUUCAAUCCACUUGAAGAUGGAUCUACCCAUCAUUUUUUGUUCACUUUGCCUGAUUCUUUCCUUGGGGAGGCCUGACUUGCUUAGUUUUCUGGCAUUUUUUUUUUCUUGCUAAAAGUUAAAGGAGGAAAAGCUCCCCAGCAUCACUAACCUCGCUGAGAGGAGUUUGCAGAUUGUCUACCAAGAAAGGCGGUUUGGUAAAUUUUCUGGCAAAAUUUAGCAUAGAUCAUUGUUGUAUGGCUUUGGAUUAGAGUUUACUUUUAUUUGGUAGAACAUGGUGCUAGGUUUUGUA